This 249-nucleotide long non-coding RNA is filed under the name Nicotiana benthamiana. RNAcentral describes it as "long non-coding RNA (NBEN_LNC009378)". The record is from RNAcentral. Lineage: Eukaryota; Viridiplantae; Streptophyta; Magnoliopsida; Solanales; Solanaceae.
CUAAAACAAAAUCUAGACCUAACACACAAAAUACAGAGAGAGAGACGCUUGGAAAUUCUUCAGGGCAGCUGCGCAGCUUUUACAAGACCUCCCCGACGAUCUCUCUUCUUCGUCGACCAAACGAACCUCCCCCAUUGGUUGAUCUUUUCCAAAUCUCAACCAGCUAAAGCCAUAAACGACCACCAAACUCGCCAGAAAAACUCCAACAGCCAUCCACCCUUACCAAGCCGGAAUCCGACGACCAUACAC